GGGGAAGUGCUGGAAUUGGCAGACAGGCGUGACUUAGGAUCACGUGCCGAGAGGCGUGUGGGUUCGACCCCCAUCUUCCCCA
Molecule: transfer RNA, 82 nt
Filed under: Anaerolineae bacterium
Lineage: Bacteria; Bacillati; Chloroflexota; Anaerolineae
Description: tRNA-Leu
Rfam family: tRNA
About the family: Transfer RNA (tRNA) molecules are approximately 80 nucleotides in length. Their secondary structure includes four short double-helical elements and three loops (D, anti-codon, and T loops).
Source: RNAcentral